GGCUGGUCAUGGUAGUGGGUUAUCAGAACUUACUAACAUUAGUGUCACUAAAGUUGGUAUACCACCCCCCACUGCUAAAUUUGACUGUCUUAA
This 93-nucleotide Y RNA is filed under the name Tupaia belangeri chinensis (Chinese tree shrew). Its description in RNAcentral is "Tupaia chinensis (Chinese tree shrew) Y RNA". It matches the Rfam family "Y RNA". From Rfam's summary of the family: Y RNAs are components of the Ro ribonucleoprotein particle (Ro RNP), in association with Ro60 and La proteins. The Y RNAs and Ro60 and La proteins are well conserved, but the function of the Ro RNP is not known. The record is from Rfam by way of RNAcentral. Lineage: Eukaryota; Metazoa; Chordata; Mammalia; Scandentia; Tupaiidae.